This 253-nucleotide ribosomal RNA is filed under the name uncultured bacterium. Its description in RNAcentral is "partial 16S ribosomal RNA". It matches the Rfam family "Bacterial small subunit ribosomal RNA", at positions 524 to 776 of the family's 1533-position model. The record is from RNAcentral.
AACGUAGGUGGCGAGCGUUAUCCGGAAUUACUGGGCGUAAAGCGUGUGCAGGCGGGGGGGUAAGUGGUGGAUGAAAUGUCCCGGCUCAACCGGGAGGGGUUAUGCCAGACUGCAUCUCUUGAGUGCGAGAGAGGAGCGUGGAAUUCCGGGUGUAGUGGUGAAAUGCGUAGAGAUCCGGAGGAACCCCAGAGGCGAAGGCGGCGCUCUGGCUCGCAACUGACGCUCAGACACGACAGCAUGGGGAGCGAACGGG